RNA transcript from Zophobas morio, 1876 nucleotides. It is a transcript of the gene named TLC domain-containing protein 5-like, with no coding region annotated. The transcript is spliced from 3 exons. Lineage: Eukaryota; Metazoa; Arthropoda; Insecta; Coleoptera; Tenebrionidae. The record is from RefSeq and is a predicted model, not a curated record.
CAAGAAGGCCCAAAAUGUCCCAAAAGUUCACAGAAAUGCUGCAAAGCUUGGCAAAAACUUUGUUCUUUUUGCUGCGUGGUUUAAUAAGGUCGUAUUGUUCCAAAGUUUUGGAUAUAUCAGCAAAAAUGUCUUCAUCAAGAAUAGGGUCCUUGAAGUUAUUUCCGUACAUUGACUCUCUAGAUUUCUUCUUUUUCAGGGUGUAGGAAGAAGUGGAGGGGCUCUUGGUCAACGCCAUAUUAAACUUGUGACAAUUUAAUGUUUUUGUUUUUAUUUAUUUAUUCUCCGCUGUCAUUGUUAUGAUCCAUCAUAAGUGUCAAGAAAAACAUGAUUGUGUGCCAAAUUUUUGUACUUGUAACAUAAAAUGGUGGAACAAGAUAUCGUCAUAACUUCCAUUGAUUUAAAACUCCCUCCCGAUCCCGAAGAAGAAUACGUGACCCCAUACAACUCGUUUUUGGCCAUUGUAAUAAGUUUUAUGUUGUGGGCCAUUUUCUACCAAUGUAUGCGUUUUCUUCUACCUUCAAAAUGUCGGGAGUACCACUGCCGCCUUCUUAGUUUUCUGCAUGGUAUUAUAUCUGCGUUUGUUGGGGUCAAUCAGUGCUUCAUCAUCGACGUGCCGUUUCAACAUCCAGAAUGGCGGACCACCAGUAGCCAAAGAUUCUUAAUGGUAUGCAGUUUGGGUUACUUUAUUCAUGACUUAGGAUGGAUCCUUUUGUAUGACAGAAACUCAAAACUGAUGAUCGCUCACCACGUAUACAGUGCUUUUGCGCUACAGAGGAUGCUUUACAAGCCGAAUUCGGGGGCUCAAGCCACCUGCGCCCUGGGAUGCAUGGAAAUUACAAAUCCGCUUUUGCAGACUCGAUGGUUUUUGCGAAGUGAAGGUUUUUACCCGUCAUCGGUCUUUACUUCCGUGGAACUUACCUUUUUCCUCGUUUUCUUUCUGGGAAGAAUAAUGACGCCACUUCAAUUAAUGGAUGGUAUUAGUGUAACUACGAUCAGAUGGAAUUCACUUUAUGACAAAUACUUAUUGAUGGAAUUUAUUGUCGAGCCGAUACAAAAAGUAACGCCAUUUCUCUUCCGAGUGUAGUCACCAACCCAGCAACUAAGGAGGGACUCGACCAAUUUGCAAUUUAAAUGGUGCAAUAAUUGCAGAAUCGUUAAGGUGGUGCCAUAUUAGAUCAAUUAAUCUCUUACUUCAUAAUAAAUUCCGCAUUUAUAAAUACGCGAGAGCCGCUUGCAUCUUCAUCAAGCUUGAAUAACAAGUAUUAAAUUAAAUAAAAUGCAAACACUGUGAUUCAUGUUUAAUAAUACUUUAGAAGCAGAGUUAAUUUAUGCAUAAAUGGAUGAAUCAAGCAUACAAUUAAUAAACAUAGAUAUAUUUUUGUGACCACCGUUGUUUUUAGCAUGAAAUGACAGUUCAAUCUGAUGCACAAUACCGAUAACCUAAAGUUUGAAUCAUUUUUAGUGUUCUGAUUAAUAAGAAUAUGUAGAUCAAAGAAUGUGUUUAGUGGUCACAGAUUGCCCUCUAAAAUCGGAGCUAAAAAAUGUUUCUGGAUUUCUGGGUUUUUGUAAAAACGAGAAACGCAUUAGCAAAGAUCCUGCAUUUGCUUCAACAAAAUAAGAAGAGUUUGGGAAUGAACCUGAGGUUUUAUCCAUAAAUGGAAAACGAAAUGAAGACGCGACAAAAAGAAAGGAAAAGAGGAAGAAUUUUUAGUACGGAUGUAGACCUGAUCUCGAUUCCUUGAACCUAAUUCCUACAAGGAUUAACGCUACAAGUGAUCCCCAUGGAAUGACAUUCUUCAGUGUUGUAAUUGUUUUGUUUCUAUAAAAUUCUGUAGUGCUCUAAUGCAAAGUAAAUGCUACUUUUUUAGCUUGGUAA